GUCAUUCUAUGGACCUGUCUAGCAAGGUAGAUGCAUUGUCCCAUAAGAUUGACCAACUGAUGAUAGGUGGGCAUUUUAUUAACUCUUCCCAAGCACAAGUGUGUACUAUCUGUUCUAGCCCAUCCCACCCUAUUCAUGAGUGCCCCUCAGCGCCCCAAUUCCCCGAACUCAUGCAAGAACACAUCAAUGCUGCUCAAACACA
This 202-nucleotide long non-coding RNA is filed under the name Phoenix dactylifera (date palm). RNAcentral describes it as "long non-coding RNA (PDAC_LNC010737)". The record is from RNAcentral. Lineage: Eukaryota; Viridiplantae; Streptophyta; Magnoliopsida; Arecales; Arecaceae.